GCUCCAGGUUCCACCUGCCAGCCUUCCAAGAAGCCUCCUCCCUUCCUGGGGUUGCGGGGGGUUGUGCCCCAGUCAGACUGUCCGGUAACCUCCGAGAUUCACUCCACCUAAAGAGGCCAGUCCUGCUCCCAGACGCCUUAACAAGAGUGAUCCAGAGCCUCUCGUUACUUUGGGGGCCGGCCCUGGUGUUGCUUCCCGUUGAUGAGCUGACAGAGUCCCAUAGAAGUUCAUUAGCUUGUGCAUGAUCGUGACGAAGGCAAAAUCAAACCCAGUCAGUCUGACUCCGAAGUCUGUACUGUCACUCUUUCAUGCCUUCAAGGUGGAGACACUGCCACUAUUCGUAGAACCUGGGAAAAGAAAUACUCUUCAUUCUUCCCUUUCUCUCACACUUUAAACCGAACAAAUCUCAACAUUUUCUGAUUAUAACUUCAAGUACUUUUCAUUUGUGUCUCCCACAUGAAGAUUAGAAGAAAAAAAUAAAACUUAGUAUUUAUUGAUGAAAUGGUUGUCUUCAUAGAAAACCUAAAAGGAUCUAUAGAAAAAUCAUGAAAAUCAAUAAAGAGAGUUUGGCUAGGUUGCUGAAUAUAAAAUUAAUGCAGAA
This is a long non-coding RNA of Canis lupus familiaris (dog), 601 nucleotides long. RefSeq lists it as uncharacterized. The record is from RefSeq and is a predicted model, not a curated record. Lineage: Eukaryota; Metazoa; Chordata; Mammalia; Carnivora; Canidae. The transcript has 3 exons.